CCUACGGAGGCAGCAGUGGGGAAUAUUGGACAAUGGGCGCAGGCCUGAUCCAGCCAUGCCGCGUGAGUGAUGAAGGCCCUAGGGUUGUAAAGCUCUUUCACCGGAGAAGAUAAUGACGGUAUCCGGAGAAGAAGCCCCGGCUAACUUCGUGCCAGCAGCCGCGGUAAUACGAAGGGGGCUAGCGUUGUUCGGAAUUACUGGGCGUAAAGCGCACGUAGGCGGAUCGAUCAGUCAGGGGUGAAAUCCCAGGGCUCAACCCUGGAACUGCCUUUGAUACUGUCGAUCUGGAGUAUGGAAGAGGUGAG
This 305-nucleotide ribosomal RNA is filed under the name uncultured bacterium. RNAcentral describes it as "bacterial SSU rRNA". It matches the Rfam family "Bacterial small subunit ribosomal RNA", at positions 338 to 661 of the family's 1533-position model. The record is from RNAcentral.